CCCCUAAGCGGUGACUAAGUGGAAAAGGAUGUGGAGUUGCAGUGACAACCAGGAGGUUGGCUUGGAAGCAGCCACCCUUGAAAGAGUGCGUAAUAGCUCACUGGUCAAGUGAUUCCGCGCCGACAAUGUAGCGGGGCUCAAGUCAUCCGCCGAAGCUAUGGCAUUCAGACAAUAGUCAAGCCUUCGUGGUUCAGACGUCUGGAUGGGUAGGGGAGCGUCGUGUCGCGAGUGAAGCCUCGGAGUGAUCCAGGGGUGGACGCGACACGAGUGAGAAUGCAGGCAUGAGUAGCGAAUGAGGAGUGAGAAACUCCUCCGCCGAAUGAUCAAGGGUUCCAGGGUCAAGCUAAUCUGCCCUGGGUAAGUCGGGACCUAAGGCGAGGCCGACAGGCGUAGUCGAUGGACAACGGGUUGAUAUUCCCGUACCGGCAAAGUAGCGCCCAUGACGAACCUGGUGAUGCUAACUGCCCGAAUUCGCAGUUACCGAACCCUUCGGGGGGAGGAGCUGCGAGCUAGCGCGGGACCCGAACCAGUAGUAGUCAAGCGAUGGGGUGACGCAGGAAGGUAGCCCAACCGUGGCGAUGGUUGUCCACGGGCAAGAGUGUAGGGAGCCACCUAGGCAAAUCCGGGUGGCAUGUUCCUGAGACUUGACGCGGAGUCCGUAUGGACGAAGUGGGUAAUCCUAUGCUGUCGAGAAAAACCUCUAGCGAGCUAUGCGCCGCCCGUACCCCAAACCGACUCAGGUGAUCAGGUAGAGAAUACCAAGGCGAUCGAGUGAACCAUGGUUAAGGAACUCGGCAAAAUGCCCCCGUAACUUCGGGAGAAGGGGGGCCGGAUCCGUCAAUGCCCUAGCGGCAGGCAGCGGUGAUGGCCGCAGAGACCAGGCCCAAGCGACUGUUUACUAAAAACACAGGUCCGUGCGAAGUUGUAAGACGAUGUAUACGGACUGACUCCUGCCCGGUGCUGGAAGGUUAAGGGGACGGGUCAGCCUUUAGGCGAAGCCCAGAACUUAAGCCCCAGUAAACGGCGGUGGUAACUAUAACCAUCCUAAGGUAGCGAAAUUCCUUGUCGGGUAAGUUCCGACCUGCACGAAUGGAGUAACGACUUGGGCGCUGUCUCAACCGUGGACUCGGCGAAAUUGCACUACGAGUAAAGAUGCUCGUUACGCGCGGCAGGACGGAAAGACCCCGGGACCUUUACUAUAGUUUGGUAUUGGUGUUUGGUUCGGCUUGUGUAGGAUAGGUGGGAGACUUUGAAGCACGGACGCCAGUUCGUGUGGAGUCAACGUUGAAAUACCACUCUGGUCGUACUAGAUGUCUAACCUAGGUCCGUAAUCCGGAUCAGGGACAGUGCCUGAUGGGUAGUUUAACUGGGGCGGUUGCCUCCUAAAAUGUAACGGAGGCGCUCAAAGGUUCCCUCAGCCUGGUUGGCAAUCAGGUGGCGAGUGUAAGUGCACAAGGGAGCUUGACUGUGAGACAGACAUGUCGAGCAGGGACGAAAGUCGGAACUAGUGAUCCGGCCACGGCAUGUGGAAGCGUGGUCGCUCAACGGAUAAAAGGUACCCCGGGGAUAACAGGCUGAUCUUCCCCAAGAGUCCAUAUCGACGGGAUGGUUUGGCACCUCGAUGUCGGCUCGUCGCAUCCUGGGGCUGGAGUAGGUCCCAAGGGUUGGGCUGUUCGCCCAUUAAAGCGGCACGCGAGCUGGGUUUAGAACGUCGUGAGACAGUUCGGUCCCUAUCCGCCGCGCGCGCAGGAAACUUGAGAAAGGCUGUCCCUAGUACGAGAGGACCGGGAUGGACGAACCUCUGGUGUGCCAGUUGUUCUGCCAAGAGCACGGCUGGUUGGCUACGUUCGGAAGUGAUAACCGCUGAAUGCAUCUAAGCGGGAAGCACGUUUCAAGAUGAGGUUUCCCACUACAUAAGUAGGUAAGGUCCCCAGCAGAACACUGGGUUGAUAGGCCGGAGGUGUACAGCAGUAAUGCCCAGCCGACCGGUACUAAUAGACCGAGGGCUUGUCCC
RNAcentral lists this ribosomal RNA (2014 nucleotides) under bioreactor sludge metagenome. Its description in RNAcentral is "bacterial LSU rRNA". It matches the Rfam family "Bacterial large subunit ribosomal RNA", at positions 1045 to 2925 of the family's 2925-position model. The record is from RNAcentral.